AUUGAACGCUGGCGGCAUGCCUUACACAUGCAAGUCGAGCGGCAGCGCGGGGGCAACCCUGGCGGCGAGCGGCGGACGGGUGAGUAAUACAUCGGAACGUGUCCUUUCGUGGGGGAUAACCAGUCGAAAGACUGGCUAAUACCGCAUGAGAUCUCACGAUGAAAGCGGGGGACCGCAAGGCCUCGCGCGAUUGGAGCGGCCGAUGUCGGAUUAGCUAGUUGGCGGGAUAAAAGCCCACCAAGGCGACGAUCCGUAGCUGGUUUGAGAGAACGACCAGCCACACUGGGACUGAGAUACGGCCCAGACUCCUACGGGAGGCAGCAGUGGGGAAUUUUGGACAAUGGGGGCAACCCUGAUCCAGCCAUGCCGCGUGUGUGAAGAAGGCCUUCGGGUUGUAAAGCACUUUCGGCCGGAACGAAAUCGCGCGGAUUAAUAACCCGCGUGGAUGACGGUACCGGAAGAAGAAGCACCGGCUAACUACGUGCCAGCAGCCGCCGUAA
RNAcentral lists this ribosomal RNA (500 nucleotides) under uncultured bacterium. Its description in RNAcentral is "partial 16S ribosomal RNA". It matches the Rfam family "Bacterial small subunit ribosomal RNA", at positions 29 to 523 of the family's 1533-position model. The record is from RNAcentral.